GACGGGGGGGGCAAGUGUUCUUCGGAAUGACUGGGCGUCAAGGGCACGUAGGGGGUGAAUCGGGUUGAAAGUGAAAGUCGCCAAAAAGUGGCGGAAUGCUCUCGAAACCAAUUCACUUGAGUGGGACAGAGGAGAGUGGAAUUUCGUGUGUAGGGGUGAAAUCCGUAGAUCUACGAAGGAAGGCCAAAAGCGAAGGCAGCUCUCUGGGUCCCUACCGACGCUGGGGUGCGAAAGCAUGGGGAGCGAACAGG
RNAcentral lists this ribosomal RNA (251 nucleotides) under uncultured bacterium. Its description in RNAcentral is "partial 16S ribosomal RNA". It matches the Rfam family "Bacterial small subunit ribosomal RNA", at positions 524 to 776 of the family's 1533-position model. The record is from RNAcentral.